AGCGCAGCCAAACAUGGGGCUGUAUUCAUCAGUAUUUAUAUACAGAAAAUGUAAACAAGUACUUUUCAUUAGCUGACAAGCUUGAAUUUUAUGUUGUCAUAUUAUUAAUUAAAACAAUAUUUGAAUAAUAUUUUUACUUAAUUAAAAUUACCUAUUAUUUGCUACUUAAUAAUUGGUUUUGUUCAUUCAACUUGCUGCAAAUAACCAUCAUCCAUUGUUGUUAAUAUUAUGUUAUUAUCAGUAUUUUUUUAUUUUUUCAAUUGUCAUGGCGAAUCAAGAUCAAAAAUUGGUUGCUCAAGUGACAGAUGGUCCAACAAUUAAAUCUAAAACUAUAUUGCUCUAACUUCUGAUGACUAAUAUAUUUUAAAUGACAAUGAAAAUUACAUGAUGAUGGUACUCAAUCUUGGUUUUACAAACAUCUUAAGUCAGAGCUUAGAAAUGUACCGAAUGAUACUCGUGAUACUUUAUAAUGCUUUGAAUUAUAUUGCACUUGUUUAUUUAGUACGAACGCACACAGAAAACACCAAAGUUUGCGUACUUGCAAUCGUA
RNAcentral lists this long non-coding RNA (549 nucleotides) under Aphidius gifuensis. Its description in RNAcentral is "uncharacterized LOC122849165". Lineage: Eukaryota; Metazoa; Arthropoda; Insecta; Hymenoptera; Braconidae. The record is from RNAcentral.